This 85-nucleotide transfer RNA is filed under the name Felis catus (domestic cat). It matches the Rfam family "tRNA". From Rfam's summary of the family: Transfer RNA (tRNA) molecules are approximately 80 nucleotides in length. Lineage: Eukaryota; Metazoa; Chordata; Mammalia; Carnivora; Felidae. The record is from Rfam by way of RNAcentral.
GCCUGGGUGGCUCAGUCGGUUGAGCGUCUGACUUUGACUCGGGUAGUGAUCUCAUAUUUUGUGAGUUCAAGCCCCGCAUUGGGCU